UACGUAGGUGGCAAGCGUUAUCCGGAUUUACUGGGUGUAAAGGGCGUGUAGGCGGGACUGCAAGUCAGAUGUGAAAAUUAUGGGCUCAACCCAUAACCUGCAUUUGAAACUGUAGUUCUUGAGUGUUGGAGAGGCAGGCGGAAUUCCGUGUGUAGCGGUGAAAUGCGUAGAUAUACGGAGGAACACCAGUGGCGAAGGCGGCCUGCUGGACAAUAACUGACGCUGAGGCGCGAAAGCGUGGGGAGCAAACAGG
This 253-nucleotide ribosomal RNA is filed under the name uncultured bacterium. Its description in RNAcentral is "partial 16S ribosomal RNA". It matches the Rfam family "Bacterial small subunit ribosomal RNA", at positions 524 to 776 of the family's 1533-position model. The record is from RNAcentral.